This 380-nucleotide unclassified non-coding RNA is filed under the name uncultured Roseiflexaceae bacterium. Its description in RNAcentral is "contains 16S-23S intergenic spacer region". Lineage: Bacteria; Bacillati; Chloroflexota; Chloroflexia; Chloroflexales; Roseiflexaceae. The record is from RNAcentral.
UCCGAUUUGACAUCGGCAGUCUCUCUAGAGUGCCCAACUGAAUGAUGGCAACUAAAGACAGGGGUUGCGCUCGUUGCUGGACUUAACCAAACAUCUCACGACGCGAGCUGACGACAGCCAUGCAGCAUCUGUGGCACACCCUCGAAGGCGACCCGCUUUCACGGGCUUGCAGUGCCAUGUCAAACCUGGGUAAGGUUCUGCGCGUUGCGUCGAAUUAAACCACACGCUCCGCUGCUUGUGCGGGCCCCCGUCAAUUCCUUUGAGUUUUAAGCUUGCGCUCGUAGUUCCCAGGCGGGCCACUUCCCGCGUUAGCUAAGGCCCCCAGCGACGGAGAUUCCGCCACCAAAGGCCGAGUGGCCAUCGUUUACGGCGUGGACUAC